UGAACGCUGGCGGCGUGCCUAAUACAUGCAAGUCUAGCGAACAGACGAGGAGCUUGCUCCUCUUACGUUAGCGGCGGACGGGUGAGUAACACGUGGAUAACCUACCUAUAAGACUGGGAUAACUUCGGGAAACCGGAGCUAAUACCGGAUAAUAUAUUGAACCGCAUGGUUGAAUAUUGAAAGACGGUUUUGCUGUCACUUAUAGAUGGAUCCGCGCCGCAUUAGCUAGUUGGUAAGGUAACGGCUUACUAAGGCAACGAUGCGUAGCCGACCUGAGAGGGUGAUCGGCCACACUGGAACUGGGACACGGUCCAGACGCCUACGGGAGGCAGCAGUAGGGAAUCUUCCGCAAAGGGCGAAAGCUUGACGGAGCAACGCCGCGUGAGUGAUGAAGGUCUUCGGAUCGUAAAACUCUGUUAUUAGGGAAGAACAAAUGUGUAAGUAACUAUGCACGUCUUGACGGUACCUAAUCAGAAAGCCACGGCUAACUACGUG
Molecule: ribosomal RNA, 495 nt
Filed under: uncultured bacterium
Lineage: Bacteria
Description: partial 16S ribosomal RNA
Rfam family: Bacterial small subunit ribosomal RNA
Source: RNAcentral